CUGAUCCUGCCAAGGUCUUUCUUUAAUUGCAUGUGGGUAACAAGAGACACAGUAUCCUACCAGAUGACUCAUUUACAGGUAGAUAAUGUCUUGACCACAAACGCUGGAGUUCCUGCCACCUGGGAUUCUUCAGAAACACGUCCCCUUUUUGUGUUCAGCACACACAGAGCUCACCAGCCAUUUGUUCUGGACACUGUAAAUAAAAAACAUCAAGUUACAUAAAAGGAGGAGCUCACCAGUCACUAAAACACAGCCAGGCAGCAUUAGGUGACCCCUCUAGACAGCUCUUCUUAAUGUUUUUCUCAUGGUGGCUCCUCACUCAGAGAAAUUUCCCUCCUAACAAGUGGCUUCACUCUGGCUUCCAAGGCAUCUUUCAGGUGCUCAGCCCGCCUUCUCUGCCUCAUGUGACAGUGAAGUUUCCGAUUACUGUGCAUACCGACUGUACCGGAUUGCAGUUUACAUACACAAAGUGUGACAAAAGUGCAUAUGCUAGUGAAUUACCUUCAGCAGUCUUUGGGGAAAGCAAGCAGAGUCCUCUACUGCUUUGUAGUAAAUGCAUUUACUACAGGAUGCAAGUUUUACACAAACAGGAUCUCACUGUACCUUGCCUUAGAACUUCAAAAGUGGCUGACAAGCAAUCCAAUGAGAACUCCCACAUUUUCUUACAACUGUACUAGUGAAGCUGCAAAACUCCCCUGCUUUGUCAUCAUAGGUCUCACACGUCAGCAAAGUGAAAAGAUUCUCCAUUCUGCUGUUUUGUCCUUAUUUGUGCUCAUCUUCUUCAGCCCUCAUGGCCAAGACAUGUUUUAAGUAACUGAGCUGGCAGAUUUCCUGCCCACCACCCAGCGCUGUUGUCUGGAAUUAAUUUCUAAAGCAGGUUUUAAAUCUUUCAGUUGUUUUGAAGACAAAUUGGUAUGUGAACAGCUGUACUGGGUGAUAAAUUCUUUUAGCAUGGAAGGUAUUUUCCAGGCUUUUUCACAGAAGAAUUUAAUUUACCAAGAAAAUCAGUUGUUCAAAUCACAGAAGUUAAUGUUUAAACAGCUAAAAAAGAAAAAAAAAAAAGAAG
This 1066-nucleotide long non-coding RNA is filed under the name Strigops habroptila (Kakapo). Its description in RNAcentral is "lncRNA (ENSSHBG00005009945.1)". Lineage: Eukaryota; Metazoa; Chordata; Aves; Psittaciformes; Psittacidae. The record is from RNAcentral.